Long non-coding RNA from Astyanax mexicanus (Mexican tetra), 492 nucleotides. RefSeq lists it as uncharacterized. The transcript is spliced from 2 exons. The record is from RefSeq and is a predicted model, not a curated record. NCBI's taxonomy places the organism in Eukaryota, Metazoa, Chordata, Actinopteri, Characiformes, Acestrorhamphidae.
UUUAUAUAUAUCUGGUGUCCAAAUACCUGGAUGUUGUGGCGGGUAUUUCAUGUCAGUGCAGUUUAAUCUGAUUUAUAUAUAUCUGGUAUCCAAAUACCUGGAUGGUCUGGCGGGUAUUUCAUGUCAGUGUAGUUUAAUCUGAUUUAUAUAUAUCUGGUAUCCAAAUACCUGGAUGGUCUGGCGGGUAUUUCAUGUCAGUGCAGUUUAAUCUGAUUUAUAUAUAUCUGGUAUCCAAAUACCUGGUUGGUCUGGCAGGUAUUUCAUGUUAGUUUAGUUUAAUCUGAUUUAUUUCACUGCUACUGCUUCUAAAUGGAUUGCCUGUGACUGAUGCAACAAGUGGUUCCACCAUUCAUGUGUCGGAAACUCACCUGAAGAGGAGGAGUUCCUUUGCCCUUUGUGCAAGAUAUAAGACAGCCCCUACCAACUAACUCAUCCGCUGACCCUGCUUUUAAAUGUCAUUGCUACCACUGUUUUCCAACAACUCUAAUCAGA